This 495-nucleotide ribosomal RNA is filed under the name uncultured bacterium. Its description in RNAcentral is "partial 16S ribosomal RNA". It matches the Rfam family "Bacterial small subunit ribosomal RNA", at positions 28 to 507 of the family's 1533-position model. The record is from RNAcentral.
GACGAACGCUGGCGGCGUGCCUAAUACAUGCAAGUAGAACGCUGAAGGAGGAGCUUGCUUCUCUGGAUGAGUUGCGAACGGGUGAGUAACGCGUAGGUAACCUGCCUGGUAGCGGGGGAUAACUAUUGGAAACGAUAGCUAAUACCGCAUAACAGUAGAUAUCGCAUGAUAUCUACUUGAAAGUUGCAAUUGCAUCACUACCAGAUGGACCUGCGUUGUAUUAGCUAGUUGGUGAGGUAACGGCUCACCAAGGCGACGAUACAUAGCCGACCUGAGAGGGUGAUCGGCCACACUGGGACUGAGACACGGCCCAGACUCCUACGGGAGGCAGCAGUAGGGAAUCUUCGGCAAUGGACGGAAGUCUGACCGAGCAACGCCGCGUGAGUGAAGAAGGUUUUCGGAUCGUAAAGCUCUGUUGUAAGAGAAGAACGAGUGUGAGAGUGGAAAGUUCACACUGUGACGGUAUCUUACCAGAAAGGGACGGCUAACUACGUG